GCGCCCAUAGUUCAAUUGGAUAGAACAUCUGACUUCGGAUCAGACGGUUAUAGGUUCAAGUCCUAUUGGGCGCGCCA
This 77-nucleotide transfer RNA is filed under the name Mycoplasmoides gallisepticum. RNAcentral describes it as "tRNA-Arg". It matches the Rfam family "tRNA". Rfam says of the family: Transfer RNA (tRNA) molecules are approximately 80 nucleotides in length. Their secondary structure includes four short double-helical elements and three loops (D, anti-codon, and T loops). RNAcentral also lists the same sequence under 12 other names. The record is from RNAcentral. Lineage: Bacteria; Bacillati; Mycoplasmatota; Mycoplasmoidales; Mycoplasmoidaceae.